CCUGCUGCUGGGGGGGAAACUGAGCUCUGUGGCUCCAGGGGUGUUGUCAGCCUGCCUGUAAUCAGGGUCUGGGCGUGCGAGCCUCUAUGCUCUGCUGGCAGCCUGUGUGGGGUGACCACCCUGUUUGGGGCAGGUCAAAGUGCCCCCGACUGGGAGAGAAGGAGCCUCCCGUGGCCUUAGGGAUGGAGGCUGCCCUGUAAGUCAGGGAGCAGCUGUGCCCCACAGUCCCAGGCCCUUUGCCAUCGAGGCAGUGGCUGGGGGUCCCCUGUAGGCAGGGAAGCAGCCUCCUUUGCCGCUGCUUUUAGUGUGCCCAGCUCCAUUUGCCCAGUCUGCCCGCCUGUGCGAUCCCCUGCAGCACUGGCUGGAGCCUCCGCAGUGUGCCACUGAGGAUCUGCUGUCAAAGAAAGAAGCGAUAUGGAGAACUGGGAGGCCAGCGCGAGCAAGAAGCAGAAGCUUUUCACUGUCUUAUUUUGUGCAAUUCUCUUUUGUGUUUAGUAAUUGCAGUUCAAGCAUGUAUGUUGUAGUUGAUUUUUCCUCAUUGGCUUCAUUUUCUCCUCUGAAUAAAAUUUUUGUGCAUGUUGAAGUAGUUUCUUCUUCUCAUCUUUGAAACUGUAAAGCAAUCACAGGAGAUGACGGUCUGUAUUUGAGGUACAGGCUCUACACAACAAGAUAUCUAAAAGGAGGGUUUAACUCACCUCUCCCAGCCACAGUUUUGGUUAAAGGGUGAGCUGAGGAAUGCAGCCUUCUUCAGUUCAACCUCUGCCUCACUAGAAGUUUGGGGCUGGGGGUGGAAUUGGUGCUGACUGACUCCACGCUAUCCUGGAAGCGCCACUGUGCUGAUGAGUAUAGAAGGGUGAAUCUUGCCCCUCCAGGCACUCACAUGCUUGCAUACUGUUUCAGGCUUUGACCUGGCAAAUCCACAGCAGGCCCAUAUUGAAUUUUGAUAUUCAAUUUAGCAGCAUGAAGGCAUUUGUUUCUUACUGGUUGAACUGUGUUUGCCAUUGGUUUCUUUCCUCCACCGCUAUGGAAAGGAAAAUCCUUCAAGCUGAUCUGGGUGUUUUGGUGUCCUUUAUUUGAGGCAUAGUGCUGACUGAUGUAGCAGAGCUCUUCCCUUAAUCUUGCCCAUGUCCUGUGUCAAGCCAGCUCAGGGUAGUUUUUUAGCUGAAUAAGAUUGGCUCAUUUCCUGGAACACUCAUGCUGGACUCUGCUCCAGUUUUUUCUUCAGAGGUGUCAUCCAAAUGCAAUACUUUUAGAUUUAAGGGAUGACUGGGGUGUGCUCAGGAGUGCUUGGUUCCCUACCAUCUGUUAGUGUGGUUCUCUCUGCUGGUGCUUUAUCCCUCCUCUUCUUUAGAGCCUGAACUAUUGCACAUUCUGGGAUGAUGUAGCUGUAAUCAAUGGGGGUGCUCAUUUUGUUUCUCUGUUAUGUUGUGAUUUAGUUUCAGAGGUAGCUGAGCCCUGUGUGGCUGUUGGCUCACUCCCCCGCUUCCCAAAGGGAAGGAGGAGAGACUGGGGGUUGGGUGAUCAAGUAGAACUAAUGGAUUGGGAUUUAAAACAAUUUACUAAUGUUGAGAAAAGAAAUGGGGAAAGAGGGUAACAGCUAUGAUACA
Phasianus colchicus (ring-necked pheasant) is the source of this 1607-nucleotide long non-coding RNA. The record is from Ensembl. Lineage: Eukaryota; Metazoa; Chordata; Aves; Galliformes; Phasianidae.